UUGGCUGAAAAUUAGGGUUUUACCGACUAAUAGAGAUAAGGUUUUUAUGAGGCGUGUUCAUGUUGUUAUCUUGUACGCUAGAUUUCUUAGCCAUGACUCGUCAACCUCGGGAUUUGUGGAGCUCUCGAUGAUCUUGUCAAAUUAAGUCUAUGAAUUGUUGAAUCCCGUUCUGGCCGAGACGUAGGAUCAAUCACACCGGUGGAUCUUAACUCGUUCCAGGUUGAUGCAAGAAUCGAAGUAUAUGGUAUCAUUCAUAGCCCCAUGUUACAAAUAAAAUGGUGAAUACUAUGGAUGGAAGUGGAUCCUUUUGGUGGAAAGGCGAUUUGUCACUAUGGAUGAAUGGAUGCUAAAGACACAAUCCAUGUCGAAGACUAAACAAGCUAGAAUCUGGUGAAACACAUAAAUUGACUUAAGACUCCUCAAAGGUUAGUUUGUGAUAUAGGAAGACUAAAAACUUGAUAAUCUUGAUUGUUUGUGAUGACGUA
Arabidopsis lyrata subsp. lyrata is the source of this 485-nucleotide long non-coding RNA. RefSeq lists it as uncharacterized. The record is from RefSeq and is a predicted model, not a curated record. The transcript has 2 exons. NCBI's taxonomy places the organism in Eukaryota, Viridiplantae, Streptophyta, Magnoliopsida, Brassicales, Brassicaceae.